AAUGACACUGUUGGAGUAAUAUUUAAUGUAUUAUUACAUACCUCAUUCUACCCUAUAAAUACAUUCAUAUGUCUUCACAAUUUUUAAACACCAAAGCUAGAAUAACAGUUUAUAACAAACAGAGCUACUGAAAUUUUCUGUCAGCAGAUUGAGCUCAAACAUGAAAAAAUAGUUGGUGUGUUCUUGCUGUUCCCACCAUGGCUGGCCAAUUUAUACUUGGUCUUCAACAGCAGAAUCAGACUGCGUUGUGUGCGUACCUAUGUAGUCACUGAAACCAAGCCACAAAGAAUUGUUAGAAGUCAAGAGUGAUACUGUUUCAGGAGAUGGUGUGGCAGAUUCUGGGGAAUUCUUUGUUAGUGAUGGUGAAGACUGUUUAGGCUGAGGAUCAUUCUCAAGGUUCUGAUUUUGAAAAGGUUACUGGAUUGGAUGAUUUUGAUGAGGAUUUAGGAGACGGUUCUGCUGUUCUGCCUCUAUAGAGGUGUCUAUUGAAGGAGUUUGUUUCCACUGGAGGUUCUAAGAAAGUUAAGGAUGUUGUUGUCAAGGAGAAGUAGUUUGCUUGUAGUUCUGAAAGGGGAUUUAGUAGUGGUAAGUACUAUCUUUUUGCUGGUUCUGAUAAUUUAUUUUGGGUUUUUUGGGAUGAUCAAUAUCAGGAAUUGUGGUUAGUUAUUGGUGUUGUGUUAUUCAGUACAAUGUAGGCUUUUGGGUGUUUUGCUGUUUUGCUUAUGUAUGUGCAUUGUACUGUGUAUGGUCUUUUUAAAUGAAGAUAUUUAGUUAUGUUAU
This is a long non-coding RNA of Ipomoea triloba (trilobed morning glory), 780 nucleotides long. RefSeq lists it as uncharacterized. The transcript is spliced from 3 exons. NCBI's taxonomy places the organism in Eukaryota, Viridiplantae, Streptophyta, Magnoliopsida, Solanales, Convolvulaceae. The record is from RefSeq and is a predicted model, not a curated record.